Molecule: ribosomal RNA, 467 nt
Filed under: uncultured bacterium
Lineage: Bacteria
Description: bacterial SSU rRNA
Rfam family: Bacterial small subunit ribosomal RNA
Source: RNAcentral
GAUGAACGCUAGCGGCAGGCUUAACACAUGCAAGUCGAGGGGCAGCACGGGUAGCAAUACCUGGUGGCGACCGGCGCAAGGGUGCGUAACGCGUGAGCAACAUGCCCUAUACAGGGGGAUAAUCCAGGGAAACUUGGUCUAAUAUCCCAUAGUAUUUAGAGGAGGCAUCUUCUAUAAAUUAAAGCUUCGGUGGUAUAGGAUUGGCUCGCGUGACAUUAGCUAGAUGGUGAGGUAACGGCUCACCAUGGCAAUGAUGUCUAGGGGUUCUGAGAGGAAGGCCCCCCACACUGGGACUGAGACACGGCCCAGACUCCUACGGGAGGCAGCAGUGAGGAAUAUUGGACAAUGGAUGGAAAUCUGAUCCAGCCAUGCCGCGUGCAGGAAGACAGCCCUAGGGUUGUAAACUGCUUUUAUAUGGGAGCAAUAAGGUCUACGUGUAGACUGAUGAGAGUACCAUAUGAAUAAGC